GACGAACGCUGGCGGCGUGCUUAACACAUGCAAGUCGAACGGUAAGGCCCUUCGGGGUACACGAGUGGCGAACGGGUGAGUAACACGUGGGUGAUCUGCCCUGCACUUCGGGAUAAGCCUGGGAAACUGGGUCUAAUACCGGAUAGGACCAUGCGCUUCAUGGUGUGUGGUGGAAAGCUUUUGCGGUGUGGGAUGGCCCGCGGCCUAUCAGCUUGUUGGUGGGGUAAUGGCCUACCAAGGCGACGACGGGUAGCCGGCCUGAGAGGGUGACCGGCCACACUGGGACUGAGAUACGGCCCAGACUCCUACGGGAGGCAGCAGUGGGGAAUAUUGCACAAUGGGCGCAAGCCUGAUGCAGCGACGCCGCGUGAGGGAUGACGGCCUUCGGGUUGUAAACCUCUUUCAGUAGGGACGAAGCGCAAGUGACGGUACCUACAGAAGAAGGACCGACCAACUACGUGCCAGCCGCCGCAGUAA
Molecule: ribosomal RNA, 477 nt
Filed under: uncultured bacterium
Lineage: Bacteria
Description: partial 16S ribosomal RNA
Rfam family: Bacterial small subunit ribosomal RNA
Source: RNAcentral